Long non-coding RNA from Hyposmocoma kahamanoa, 845 nucleotides. RefSeq lists it as uncharacterized. The record is from RefSeq and is a predicted model, not a curated record. Lineage: Eukaryota; Metazoa; Arthropoda; Insecta; Lepidoptera; Cosmopterigidae. The transcript has 3 exons.
UUUAGAUGAAACCAAAAACACCAGAGGGCAGACAUGUAUUUUACAUUUUAAUGUCGGAAGAAAUAUAAAAGGCUAAUGAAGAAACUAUGCAAUACAUUUAGAACCCUUAGACAUACUAUUACCUAAAUAUGGACCGAAAAAACCAGACAAGUGCGAGAUGUCCUGCACACGAAAAAAUUUGAAAAUGAAAAUGUUAGGUACUAGCUUUUGAGCGGCGUCUUCAUUUGCAGCAGUUUAUGUGAGGAACAUGAUCAUUUAUCCAGCCAAAUAUAUCCAAAAAACUAAACUUCCAAAAUUUCCUAUAAUAUACAAUACAGGCAGAAGAGAAGGAAUUGCGAUUUUAACAACAUACGACAACUAGCACCGAAAUGCCAAUUCGAAACGGAGAAUUCGAAAGCCCUGUGACUGCAACACAAUACUGUACCUGCUCGGAACUAAAAAAAGGCAUGCCGCAAGUAGAUCUUAGCCCUAAAGGAGAAUUCAUAUAUAUCCUCUUCGCAUUAACUUGCCCGUAUACAUUAAGAGACCCAAUUAUACUCGUUAGGGGUCACAAUCGACACAAAACCUUUGAAAAUCUUUAUAAAGAGGUAGUGAAAAAAGUGAAACCAGUUUGCGGUCACAAAGUGAUGGGUGGUGGCAAAAUUAGGCAUAAUGCCGUCAAAAAGACGCUCCAUAUCUUCGGCACGUCAGAUGUUUAUGACAAGGCUGAUCAUUCAUUGACGGCAACCCUAGUCAAGGAUUCAUAUCCUGGAUACGUAAUCACGGCUGAAUGACGACGAAGAAUAAAAAGAUAUUUGUAUACACACAUAUUACAUCAGUGAAUAAAGUUAACUAUUAGAGCUAAA